GUGGUGCUUGACAGUUUUUAUAAACAAAUCAAAAUACCUCUGCUCUCCACAGUGCCUAGUUAGCUGUAUGCUUUCCAAGUUCUCAGUGCUGAAAGUGUGGAAAGUUAGAUCCUCUCCCAGCAAAGAAAGAGAGACUGCUCAUUGCAAGAGAUAUGAAAGAAGAAUCCUGUCUGCACAAGAUUUAUGGCUGGGAGAAACUGCACUCUGUCUCUUGCUGUCCACCCAAGUAUUUUGGGAAGUACCAACAUAGAAAGAAUAAUGGCUGUUAGAAAAUCCCAAGAUGAGCUGUUCCCCUGAAGAAUGAGAAGGAAGAUAAAGGCAAUUUCUCUUUUUCUUCCAUUUCUCCAUUCUUUUUGGACCCAGCUGAAGGAAUUUCACAUCUGGAAACAUGAAGGAGAAUCAUGAAGUCUCUGAUGCUGAGACACACUAUGCCUUAUACUAAGCACUUUUGCUGCAUAGCAAAAUAGUUUUACUCUGAAUUCAAGACUGAGGCAUCAAACAAGUUUCAUCAGUCAUCCACAUUUGACCUGGAAUCAAGGUGCAGAGAAAAAUGAAGGUAAUAUGGUAUAACUUGAACCCUGUGCAUAUUGAACUAAAAGCACCAAUUUGGUUCUUCUGUGACUACCUUAUCUCCAUUAAAAGAAGAUAAUAUCAAAAAUCAAAAUAUCAAAAAUUUGUUCUGUAUUUAAUAGUAAAGAUAAGGUUGCAAUUAUUUAUUUGCAC
RNAcentral lists this long non-coding RNA (723 nucleotides) under Parus major (Great Tit). RNAcentral describes it as "lncRNA (ENSPMJG00000011346.1)". Lineage: Eukaryota; Metazoa; Chordata; Aves; Passeriformes; Paridae. The record is from RNAcentral.